Molecule: long non-coding RNA, 10429 nt
Organism: Homo sapiens (human)
Lineage: Eukaryota; Metazoa; Chordata; Mammalia; Primates; Hominidae
Exons: 2
Source: RefSeq, a predicted model, not a curated record
GGGCUCCCAGAGGCAGUGAUGUGGCAGCGCCUGUCUCCCGGUGAGUUGGGGAGCUCACACCGUACCUCUGGGGAACCACGCCUGGCUGUUGCAAUGUAACCCAGCACCUGAUGAAAUCUUCCCUGAAAGUUGCAGGUAGUGGGGGCAAAGGACCUUUUGUCUUGCGGUCGAAAGACUCCCGUAGCUGGUUCUGUUUGGCUUCAUAUCCUUCCCAGCAGAGUAAACAGAAAGGGCAUUUUCACGUGGCUCUUCCUUCCAGUCUGAACAAUGUUCCCUAAACACCUGCAAGGCAGAGGACACAGGGCUCCUGGUGCCCGUCCACCUAAGUGCCUCCUGGCCUCAGGGAAUCUGCUUUGGGGACCUGAAAGUAAGGUUCCCUGACCAUCAAGAACAGACAGACACUCAGCCACACUUCUGGAAACCUCCGCCCUUUGAAAGGGACUGGCUGGUGGAAGCAGGCGGCCUGGGGCAUAUCCCUGACCUUAUUACCCCCAGGUGGUGACAGAGAUGAUCUUUAAGUGUGGGAGCCUGGAGCCAAGUCCUUGGCCACAUCCCAGCUCUGCCUGGCUGUGUGCUGGUGGGUUAUUACCCUCAUUGCCUCAGUUUCCCCUCUGCACAAUGGGGCUGGCGCUAGUGCUCCCCACCCCAUAGACUGUCAUGAGAAGUAGCAUCUGGACAGGCCCUGAGAGCAGUGCCCAUCUCUGUGCCAUCCGCUGGGACUGGUGUUGGCCUGGUACUGUACCGUCUCACCCUUGUGUCCCCAGGAGGGGAGUGGGGUCGAGACCAGCCCCAGGGGUUACAUGGACAAUGGGGUUACAUGGACAAAUGCCUCUUGUUACAUUUUGUUCACUGGUUCCCAAAAUGAGGUGCAGGCUCUGCAGAGAAAGCAGGCUUUCCCCGAGGGGCUCUGGAGCAGAAAGAGCUGUCUCAAGGAGACGCAGAGAGAUGGUCUCGGGCGCGACCAGCAGGGAUUCCUCGUCCACACAGUUUCCUGACAGCGGUUGAAAGGGACGGGUCUACGCAGGCCAAGAACAGCAGCGGAGUGUGGGGUCAGGGGCCCAGCGGGGGGCACCCCGGGGAGGGGCCGCCUCCGCCAGACCCACCCCGGGUGAAAGGACGCAUUGUGUGCCCGCAGCAUGAGGGGAGCCUGCAGAGAGGCGUCUUUGUAGGGUCCACGAGGGGGAAAGCGCUUCCCGGCAGGCGGAGCACACAAGCCAGCCGGUGGCCACGGCCGGGACAGGCUUGUACGCAGGACAUUGAGGUCCGGCGAGGAUGGGGGGGCCACCAGGCCCCCGGCCCUUUGCAGAGUGUUGCUCGUUUUCUCCCACCCCAGAAUUGGGCUUGGCCAACACGGCCCCCCCAACCAUCCCCCCACCCCCGCCAGCUGCCCGGAGCCUCUGUGAAGAUGGCGGCACCGCCCCUUGCAAACUCCAUCUGCGUGGAGGUGGCACUCCUGCUCCGGGAGGGAUCCCGGUGCCCAGCAGAUGGCAGGCUUCCCCUAGAUCAGCCCAGGGCUGGCCGCUGCCUGCGGUGCACGCCCCCGCCCUCCCCCUCCCCGCCCCGCCCCGCCCCACCCCCACCUGCCUGUGGCUGGAGGGCAGCACUGCCUGCGCGCCUCCCCACCUGACCUCCCUCUUGCCUCCCUGCCUCCUUCCAAGCAGAUUUUGGUGAAUCCUAAAUCACGUGGAUAUUAACUCGCAAGUGCCUGCAAGCAGUUCUGAGGGCCGGGCUGGGGUGCACACUCACUUGGGCCAGGUCCCCCUGGUCAGGGUCAGCCAGACGCCACUCCUGCAUCCUGUCCACUCUUAGCAGCCUUCUGCCUUCCCUGCUGACUUUCCGCCUCUUCUCUGGGUGUCUGGUGGGUGGAGAGGUGGAGAGCCUCCAGCACAACCUCACCCCACCCCACCUCGCGUCAGCCUCAGCCUCCCCUGAGACUACACGGAACCCAGACACGUUUGACCUCUGGCCCCAAAGCAGAGAUGCCUGGCUGAUGGGAUGGGUGGGAGGCCUGACACAGCCAGAUGCAGCCUGCUUUGUGUCAUUCCUGCUCUCCCGGCGUGGACGCAGGGACCGCCCCCGGGACAGCCCAGCUGGGUCUCCAGGGUGGCUUUGUCUGGAAUUUACUUUGUGAACCUCUUGCUUGUCAAAAUUAUUUCAUAGAUGAUUCAUGGUUAUAUAGAAGUGUCAGAAAUAAAGAGAAGGAGCUCAGAUACAUGACCACCCCUGCCCAUAGCAGCACCGUCCACAGUAGCCCAUGGUGAAAGCGUCCAAGUUCCCCCGACGGGUGACUAGAGAAACGCGGUGUGUUCACACACAUGUUCCACACACACCCAGCGGAACGUUCAGCCUUGGGAAGGCAAUUCUGACACGCGCCGCAACACGGAUGAGUUGAGGACGUUACGCCGAGUGAAAUGAGCCAGACAUAAGGGGCCAAAUCUGUGUGAUUCCACUUGUGUGCGACCCCUGGAGUUGUCAGGCUCAGAGAGGGAAAGAUUGGGGUGCCAGGGGCUGAGGGAGGGGACGUUGGGGAGCUGGUGUUUCAUGGAGACAAAGCUUCAGUUUGGGAAGAAGGAGAGUUCUGGAGAUGGGUGGUGUCAUGGUUGCACAAAAAUAGGAAUGGUAUAAUGCCACUGGGCUCGACGUUGAAAACGGUUAAGGUGGUGAAUUUUAUGUUAUGGACAUUUUACCACAAUAAACAGAGAGAAGGAAAAAUCAGUUAAGACCUUUUAAGGUGACUGGGACUGUGAGACUGGUGCACGUUUUCCCAUCCUUUUGAGAACUGCCUUCUUGGAUUAGGUCUGUAAGCCUGUGUAGGUUGUCCCCACCCCAGCAAUUGGUCGUGAACUUCAAGCAUUGGGAAAUCACGUGGGAGGUGGCUGCCCAGGCUCACCUCUGCCCGGGCUGCAACAGGAGGCUCUCAUGGGGCAGGUGCUGCGCUGUGGCCAGAGUGCUGGCCGGGGGCGUGGGCUCCCACCACCUGGAGCCGGCCCCUCGCUGGCUGGGCGCCCGAGACCCGUCACCGCACACGCCUUGUGAGGGCUACGGCUGCUGUCCACGCGGCUAGUUCAGGCUGAGUUGAAGCCUCCGUCCGAGCAGCUGAAAGUCAAAUCUAGUCGUUAGACUCUGAAAGCUGGUUCAUGUCAGAGACCUGACAUGGAGUGUGGGAAAACCUUGACGGAAGCUUCCAGAGCCUGGCAAGAUUAGAUCAGGAAGUAACACUUUACCUAGUGAGCUUAGAAAAAUAGACUCUCCCUGUUGUCUUCUGGGAACUGGGAAAUCUGAGCGCAGGUUUCUGGGCAUGGAUGCUGCACACAGGCCUGCCCCUGGGGGUGGGCAGCAACACCCCAGCCACCCCAGGAGGGUGGGGACCCCUCGGCUGACUUUUGGGAAUCCAGAGGGGGUCAUUACAGAAGGGCUGGCGCUAGAGUGGCCAUGAGGGUACAGUGGGUCCCUCUCCGCACCCCUUGACCCCAGUCAUCUUUUCAAUACCGUUCUCUGGUGGGACUUGCGAGGGCCGAUGCUGAGGCUGCUCUGCUUGUGCAGAGAGGACAUUCGUGUAUUUGAGGAUGUUCGUGUAUUUGAACAAAGGUUGUAGUGUCUUGGCCUCUCGGCCUUUGGCAUUGCCAGGUAUCUGGGCAGAACCAGCUAGAGCUGCUGGAGAAUACAUGAGCAGUAUCUAGAACAAUUCCGAACUCCACAAGGCCAGUUUGCCAUGCCAGACUGUUGGGAAGAGGCAACGACAACUCGUAUUUAUGACUCUGUCCAUGGCAGGCAAAGCGAACCGUGGCUUUUCAUCCUGGAAAUACCCCAGCACAGUGUUUUUGUGGGAGCCUGUUACUCAAAGCAGGCACAGAGUGGAAAAGGGCCCGAUCAAGGCCACAGUGUGGGAGCUGUCAGAGCAGGGCAGGCCCGAGGCCCAGGGCUCUGCUGAACCAACCACCAGUGAGAGGGGCUUUGAUGCGUCCAGUGAUAAAACCCGUCGGGCAGGUCCUGGGAGGGAUUCUGGCUUUGGGGACUUUGCUGUGCUUAAGUCAUGGGCAAAAGUUCCUGCGCUGGCCAAUUUUGUUUUCAUCGAAUGUGGGGAUCCCUGUUCAGGGGGCACACGGUGCUGCAUUUGAGGGUCUUGAGUGGUCCUCCACAUUUGGGGUGUCCUUUGGGCCAUGUGGAGCCCUGAGAAGGAUUGACAGGUGUUUGGGAGUUUGUGUUUGUAUCUUGGACGAUGGAGGAGUUUCCCUAAUCAUGGUGUUUUUUCAAGUUAAGAAACUUCCUUUGGAGAAGCCGUUUUCUCUUUUACUGAUGAAAGGCUUCUUCUCGGCAGGAGGACUGAAGGUGCUGGGUCCUGAGGGAGGGCCUGGGGCCGGCGGGCAGGUGCGGGUUGGGGAGGGUGGCACCGUCCAGCCCAGCAGAGCCCAGAAGACGGGACCAGGCUGAGGACUUCCACGGGGCUGGCCGGGCUACACAGCACCAUGCUUAGCGGGAUUGGACUUUGAUUUUCUGUGGCUCUAACUGAUAAAACAAGCAGGGGCCUUCUAAGUUUUGCUUUGAGGUUGACUGCCAAUUAAAGAGCCAACAUCUGGUGCAUAGGACCCUCCAGAAAAAGUCUUUUUGCCCUUAAUGUUAAUUUUUUCCCCUUUGUUGGAGUUGAUUUGUUAAGUUGCUGGUGUGUGUUGACAACUGUUUGGUACAGAACGCAGGCACGUGCGUUCACCAGGACCCUGGCUUGCCGAGCGGGAGGUGGUCGACUGUGGACUCUGGGCGCGUUUGACUUUCAGCCAUGGUCUUAUGAUUGGGCAGCUUCCGUCCGGUUGCUGCCCCCUCUGCCCCUUGGGCAUACGCCCAGUGGAGCUUGGACCUGACUCAUAGCUCUCUACAGUCGACAAAAGGAAAAUGUUUCAGUUUGGGUAAAUCAGCCACAGCUGGAGCCAGGGAGAGGCCCAUGGGCUGGUGACUUUUCAGGGUGGUGGUGUUUGUUCAGCGUGUUGUUUUGCUCUGUGACUUUGGAGAGUGCAUCAAAGGCUCGGCGGACGCCCACUUGCCGAGGAGCCACGGCCCUGGCUGGUGGCCAGGCAAGCACCUCCCAGGUAGGCGUCAGGGGAAGCAUCCAAACUAGUAAAUAAAACGGCUUCUGGCAGGACGUGCUAUCAUCCCCCUCUCCCUUCUAAACACACACACGCUUUCACAGAGAAGAACUUAGAAGUAUUUCGUUUGAAUCAGAAGGAAAUAUUGAAUAUCGUCUCAUUCUCCCCCACCUAAUUUUUUUUUUAAACCACAUUCAGAAUUGCUGGGCAACCUCAUUUCCCCACAUUUAGGAUUCUUCCCUCGAAAUCUCAUGCAGGCGUAAAAUCCGAGAGCCUCGGAGGGUUUUUCUGAGCCUCUGCAUCUCCCAGCACCCCGCCCCCACCCAGCACUCAUGUGUUUGUCUGCUUUAAAAGCUUCAGGAUGGGAAAUUCCUCACCAGCCCGUAAGCCGCUGUUUGUAGGAGCCCCUAAACUCUGUGGAACCCAAAUCUCCCAGUACUGACUUAAUUCCCUUUUCCCUGAGAACCAGCUCCCUGCAGCACCCAGGGUUCUGCCCGCAGAGGGAGGCUGUGGCUGGGAGUGGAAAAUGCCCAGCCAGGGGCUACCUUCAUGGGGACAUUCCCUACCCCCAUCCCCACCUUCAUUCGGAAAGAGUCAUGACUCCUGGUCACCAGGCAAACUUCUGUACCUGCUUAUUCUGGUUUAAAAAUAGGUCAGGCAUGAUGACUCAUGCCUGUAAUCCUAGCACUUUGGGAGGCCGAGGCAGGAGGAGCGCUUGAGCCCAGGAGUUCAAGAUCAGCCUGGACAACAUAGCGAGACCCCAUCUCUAUAAAAAAUAAAAAAUUUAGCUGGGCGUGAUGGCGUGCACCUGUGGUCCCAGCUACUCGGGAGGCUGAAGUGGGAGGAUCGCUUGAGCCCAAGAGGUGGAAGCGGAGGUUGCAGUGAGCUGUGAUGUCACCACAGCACUCCAGCCUGGGUGACAGAGCAAGACCCAGUCUGAAAAAAAAGUAAAAAAAAAAUUCCUUAAAGAAAUGCUUAUUCCCCGCUCCCACCCAGACCGAGACGCUCUGGAACAAUUUUCUCCAGUGCUUGAGUUUGGGAUGAGGGCCUGGAAAGACCAUCCAGUCUCCUGCCCCUGGUGGGCAGCCAGUUCUGCCUUGGGCAGCGACACUGGGCACAGCCCGUGACCCAUCCUGGCCCUGAUCUCUUCUGGCUCUCAAGGGAGGUUCUGUGGCCCCACCUCAAAAUUCAGGGUCCCUCUGUGGAAACAAAACAUAUCCCAGAUGGAUUUGCUACAAGGCCAUCCCGGGAAGGGAGCCAAGUAAACACAGCAGCAGAGACCGGAGGGCGCGAGGGGACGGCUGACCGCAGUCCAGCUCCUCCCAUGCAUCACGCCCUCCCACCGGCCCGGCCUCAGGCUUCUCGUUCACCCCCAUCUUCCCGUGGACCUGAUCGGAGGUGUCAUCUCCCGCUGCGGGCUGAGGCUCUGAGGAGGGCCGGGUGUGUAGAGCCUUCCUUGGAAGGGAAAACCCAACCAGGAUGUUGGUUUCCGAGAGGAAGCCCGUUCACCCACCAUGGUGGCUCUGCCCUUUAAUAAGAGGCAAAGAACUCGGGUGCUGCGGGUACUGGUCACUCUGUCAGGGCAGACAUACCCCUUGCCGUUCAUCCUUCAAAGGCCAGGCUUCGGCAGGGGGCGGCACGUGUGGUCUCUCUUUGGCCUUUUCUGGUGGAAGGUCCUGGGGUAGGGAGUCCUCACGUGGUUGCUCUGCAGGGAGGGGCCCUCCAAAAAUAAUCCCGGGGCCUCUUACCCACCACUGCAACGCUGACGAUACUGCACUGAGGAAUCCACUCUUGAGCUUUGCUUUGAAACGCUGCACAUUUGCGUCUGCCCAGACUUCUGUCUAAGAGGUGCUCAGAGAUCACCUUGCGUUUAUGAAGCGAACGUGGCCUUGGGAUAUAGACCUGGGGCCCCAAGUCCAAGACCAGUGAAUAAAGUGAGAGAUGGCUUUGCCCCAAGUGGGUGAGGUGGACCCAGCACCCAUGCUUGCCGCCUCCUGCCCUCCCUCCCGCACUUUGGGACCACGAGGAAAUUGGCACUGCAGUGAUUCAUGCAGCUGCUAAUCAAAAGCUUUUAUUUCCUGAUUAUCUCUCCGUUUGAGGGAUGGCAGAUGCCAGUGCAGUCAAAAUAUAAACAGAUUCUAGUCAGGACCUUUCAAAGCAGACACCAGCCGUUCUGAAGAGCGGAGGGCCGCGCCCCUUAUGCCGCCUGGCAGAAGAGUUUCGUUGGGAAAAAUGGUUUUUCAUAACCUUUCUGCUUUCUUAUUUAAAUUAAGCUUUGCCGGGAGAGUUUGGUAGUAGCAGAGGGCCCCUGAUUUGGUCCCCUUUGACCUCCACAGCCUUGAUUGGCAGUUUGUUGUGGGCAUUGAAGUUGUGGCUGCGAGGUGGGAGCCAGCAGAACAAAUACUCUAGGACAGCUGGGCAUCCCCGAGGACCCAGCCGAGGGGGGAGUGUGCGCAAUUAGAGAGGUCUUCACACAGAAAGUUAAUUAGCUACUAAAUGGCAUUUAGCACAGUUUAUGAGAAUUGCAUGUUUGAAAAGCAAAUGGAGAUCAAUGCGGAAUGGCUGCCACCGGAUGGGGACCCUUGGACCCAGCACCAGUCUCAGGGCCUGGGAUGCCCCCCACCCCGAGCGUGAGUGCCAGGCCAGUGCCCGCUGAGACUGGACUGGGAGAUGCUCCUCGAGGACCUGCCUGGCCUUGGGGGGCAGUCCUGCUUCGCACCCACAGCCGAGCUUCCCUGUCCAAAAAAAGUGAGUAAACACGUCUUCAGUUUCGGGGAACUGUGUCUGCCGUGGCCUGGAUAGUGACUCCCUUCCCCGCAAAUUCAUGGCCACUCAGAACCUCAGAAUGUGACUUUAUUUGGAAAUAGGGUCUUUGCUGAUGGGAUCAAGGGAAGGAUCCAGUUGAGGUCUUCCUGGAUUAGGGUGGCCCUAAAUCCAACGGAUGUCUUUAAAAGACACGGACGGACACACAGACACAGGAGGGGCAGGGAGAUGGAGGCAGAGAUGGGAGUGAUGCUGCUGCAGGCUUGGGGGCUUCCAGGAUCCAGGACGAGCACCUCCAGCUGGAAGAGGCAGGAAAGACUCUUGCCUGGAGCCUUCAGAGGGGGCGCGGCCCGACUAGCACCUUGACUUUGACCUCCAGAACUGCCAGACAAUACAUUUCUGUUGUUUUCAAGCUUCUGGUCUGUGGUCCUUCAUUACAGCAGCCCUGGGAAAUGCUGUGUCACCACCAAAACGCAGCCCCCAAAACAUAGCCCCAGCUCCAUCGCAGGGCUGUGUCCGAAGCUGGAGGAUGGUGGGGUGGGUGGGGGGGAGCCAGAGGGAGGCCUUAGGACCUGCUUUUUGUUUCUGUUAUGAUCUGAGGUCUGACUUCAGUGUGGUCUUUUCACCUGCUUGUCUUAGUUCCCUGUUGAUCCUAUGGAGGGAUUGCUUGGGGCUAUUUUUGUUUUGGGGAGGGUGGUUUUUGCUCUUUUUAACUGUUUUUUUUUUUUUUGCCUUUACUGUUUUCCAUGUUUUGGAGGGCUUUUGUUUGUCUCCUUUCCUUCCUUCCUUCCUUCCUUCCUUCCUUCCUUCCUUCACUCCCUCCCUCCCUCUUUUCUUUCUCUUUCUUUCUUUUUCUUUCUUUCUCUCUCUCUCUUUCUUUCUUUUUAAUUAUAAAAGUAGCACCUGCUCCUAAGGAAAUUCUGGGAGAUAGGGAAAAGACAAAAGAAGGGUGUGAAGCCCCACCAUACCCAGCUCACCACCGUUAACUUUUUGGUGUAUUUCCUUCAGCCUUGUGUUUACUUUUAUUUUUUAUUUUUGCUUCCGAUGCCUAAGUUAUUUUACAGAGUUGUAGACAGGCAGGCUGUAUAUAAAAUUCACUUUCUUGGUUUAAAAUUUUUUUUGAUUUUAGGCCAGGCACAGUGGUUCACACCUGUAAUCCCAGUGCUUUGGGAGACUGAGGUGGGAGCAUCACUUCAGGCCUGGGCAACAUUGUGAGAUCCCAUCUUUACAAAAAAGUAUUGAAAAAUUGGCUGGGCGUGCUGGCAGAUGCCUGUGGUCCCAGCUACUUGGGAGGCUGAGGCAAGAGGAUGGGCUUGAGUCUGGGAGUUCAAGGUCAGCCUGGGCAACAAAUGAGACCCCCGCCCCCCCACCCCGCCAUCUCUGUAAAAAAUACAAAAUAAAUAGUCAGGUGCUGUGGUGCCUGCCUGUAGUCCCAGCUACUCAGGGAGGCUGAGGAGGGAGGAUCCCUUAAGCCUGGGAGAUCAAGGCUGCAGUAAGCCGAGAUCAUACCCCUGCACUCCAGCAUGGGUGACAGAGCAUGACCCUGUCUCUAAAUAAAUUUAAAUUUUUUUUAAAUUUUGUCAUAUUUGAUACAUGCCAAAGAAUAUUUGUAGCAUGUAAACCAUGAAACACAAUCAUAAAUGAACCCCGUGACCCAGCGCCCCCUGUGUCUGAACUAGAGCUUCCUAGGAGGCCAGUGCUCCACUCCUUCCUCCCCAGUCUGGUCGUUCCGUGCCCCGGUCUCCAGAAGGAACCACCUUCCGGAAUGCCGUGGGCGGCACUUCCUUGCUCUCCUAAAGCAGGCUUUGCACACAUGUGCACUUCUCAACAUUCUGCCUUGCUUUGAGCCCUAGGAAAGCGUCCCCGUCUUUGUAGCCGUCGGUGGCUCAGCUCCCCGUGCCUGAGGUGCUGCGGGUGCUCACUCCAAUAGGGGGACACUGUCUCCAUGGCUGUUCCCCAGGUUGUCCACACUCCUGUUGAUGACCAUGUGGUUUAGUUUGGGUUUUUCUCUGUGAAUGAUGUCACCUUGACAGCUUCUGUGCACACCUUUGGUGCAGAGGGACAGGAGCCCCUCCGAGGGGCCCCUGGGCCCUGCAAUGUGCACUCAACCUCCUAAGACACACCGACUGCAUUUCCUGGGGUGGGGCCAGCUGAGAGUCCCUGAGAUUACAUGGUCUGUCUUGCCAUUCUCAAUUCAUGCCCUGCCAUAAACCCCUCCCGCGCUGCCACGUCUUCUGAACCGCCACUGGGUUUCACGCCUGCACAGCGGCCUGUUGGUGAGGGACGUAGCAUUUCACUUGCCCAUGCCCCUUCCAUGGACAUGGAGCUGUUCCCGGCUUCCCGCUUGUCCUUGAUGAACACGUCUGUGCUUGGAGCUCUGCACACAGAGGCUCGGGGUGGAUGCGUGUGCACACACACAGGGAUUCCGCACAAACGUGGAUGACGCAGGUUCAGUAUUUACGUGUACACACAUAUGCAUGCACAAAGAAGUUCAAUGUCAUAUUAUUUAUUUUACAAAAAAGUGGAAUGAGUAACAUCCCAAUUCUUGCCUACAGGGAAUUUUUUUGUUUUGUUUUGAGACAGAGUCU